This 733-nucleotide ribosomal RNA is filed under the name Innesoconcha prensa. RNAcentral describes it as "partial large subunit ribosomal RNA". The stretch from base 347 to 531 matches the Rfam family "Bacterial large subunit ribosomal RNA", at positions 1706 to 2023 of the family's 2925-position model. The record is from RNAcentral. Lineage: Eukaryota; Metazoa; Mollusca; Gastropoda; Stylommatophora; Euconulidae.
UUAAAAAUUGGUAAUUACUUUUUCCCGAAAUAGAAAGAUCUAAUAAAAUAUUUUUAUGUGUUUUAAAACAUAACUUUUAUUUUUUAUUAGGUGUGAAAGGCUUAUCAAUUUUUAUGAUAUCUGGAUUGAGCUAUAAUGUAUUUAGUACAGGCAUUAUGCUGAUUAAACUUCUGUUAAGGGAAGCUUACUUAAGAAACUGACGUAAUAUUUUUAUUUAAGAUAACUCUGUAAUAAUUUAUUUUAUUUAAUAAUUUUUUUGUUAAAUUUCUUUUCACCAAGCUCUUAAAGAUUUUAAUUUGAAAAUUUUUAAAUAAUGUUAAAAUAAGUAUUUUAAAAUAAUUUUUAUUAAGGAACUCGGCAAAAUUUUACUCAACUGUUUAUCAAAAACAUAGUUUUAUGAAACUUUAUAAAAUGAAACCUGCCCAAUGAAUUUUUAAUGGCCGCAGUACUUUAACUGUGCUAAGGUAGCAUAAUAAUUUGGCUUUUAAUUAAAGUCUGGUAUGAAAGGAUUAAUGGGUAAAAGCUGUCUUAUUUAACUUUAAAAAAAUUACUUAAAAGGUGAAAAUUCCUUUAGUAAAUUAAUAGACGAGAAGACCCUAGGAGUUUUUGUUUUGUUGGGGCAACAUCUUAGUUAAAUAACCUAUUUAAUAAUUUAAACGAUUAUAUUAAUUAUAAUUAAACUACCCUAGGGAUAACAGCAUAAUUUUUUAAAAGAUUGUGACCUCGAUGUUGG